UAAAAUAAUAUUAACACAACAAUCAGUGCGAGAAAACUACUAAUUAGAAUGCAUGCACCCUCAUUAAAAUCUUUUAUCUCGUUUCUUAGUUUUCGCAUAUUUCGAUUAUUCGGCGGCCGCCCAAGGCGUUGCUUGAGACGCCGGUCGGCCGCUUACGCCCAUAAUUCCUCCGUUGGCUCCUCGUAUUUCCCUCCAUGAUAUCGAAUUAAAAUCCCAAAAAUUAUAAAAGUGCACAAUUAAAUUAACAUAACCAUUUCCCCUCGAAAAUAUAUUUAUUUCGGACUUAGGAUAAAAUUAUUCAUCCUCCGAAAUAUUUCAGGAUUAAUUAAAUAUUCCUCACCAUUAAAUUUAUUCAUCGGCCCAAGGAUUUAAAUUAAUCUGGCCCAAGUAAACUUUAUUCCCAGCCCAACUAAUAAUUCAGUAGUUUGCCCAACCUUUUUCCUCCUAUUUAAUUUAGGGUCCAAAACCAAAAUUAAAUGGAACCCAAACUAACAAAUCAUCACUUUAAUAUAAUAUGCCCAAUUCAAAAAAAAAAAAUAAGUGAGCCCAAAUUAUACUCCACCCUCUCCCACGUCUCUCCCUCUCUACAUCUUCGACCAAAAUCAAACAAUAAUUUCUCCCAAUUUCCGUCGGCUUCUCCAACACUCCACACCAGAGCCGUCGGUCGUCUCCCCUCCGACGCUCGCUGCACUCCGGCGACGUAGGCAUCAUCCGAUUUCCUUCCGUCGCUCUCCGUCGCACGCCGCUGUACCCGACGCCGCUGCGGUGCAGUUUUCUCCACCAUCGCGUCGACCCUCACGCCGGGAAGACUCUGUUGUCGCCGCUGUCACCGCCGGGCUCCAGCCGCAUCAGUCGCUCCAACGCCGCUGUUGAUUUUGCCGUCAAUUCGUCCUCAGCGUUCAUCCCCGAGCUCCGCCUUCCGUGGUGAACCGCGGCCGUCGUCGCCGUCGGAGUGGAGGAACUCUGCCGCCACAUCGCUUCAGCCUUCUCCAGCGACGAGGACGAGCUUCUCCGCCGCCGAUCCCCCUGGGUUUGAGAAUCCGCCGCUGCUGUCGUCCAAUCCAGCCAUCGUUCAUCACCGAACCAACCCCGAAACGUCCCGAAAAGCCCCGCACAACCCCGAAACAGCCCCCCCGUAUAAUCGGUUCAAGUUCGUGGUCGUCCACGUUGAAGUACCCGCUUUCUUAAAACGUAGGAUGUAUUAAAUUUUGUUGGAUGUAUCGGACAUCAAGAUUUUGGUUUUGGGAUCUUAUUUAUUUAUUUAUUUAAAUUUAUUGUAUUCA
Molecule: long non-coding RNA, 1283 nt
Organism: Salvia splendens (bonfire salvia)
Lineage: Eukaryota; Viridiplantae; Streptophyta; Magnoliopsida; Lamiales; Lamiaceae
Exons: 2
Source: RefSeq, a predicted model, not a curated record